AUAGAAAGAAAAGCUGCAAUCUGAACAUCACACAGCCUGAGCUUUGUGAGACAUUAAGUCUCACCCUAGAUGAAGCUGGUGAAAUAUAGGCUUUGUGAAGUUUGGCAGAGAAUGGCAGAGGCUUCUGGUUAGCAGCACCAGCACGUAAAAUCAAAAGAAUACAAACAGAUGUGGCUGUCAAAGUGAAGAAUUGUGUUCCCUUUUGCUGGCCUUGAGCAGACUGCAACUUAAGUCGAAGAUAGAAGGCUUCACAAAGACCUUCUUCUGAUAUAUUAGUGUGAUUUUGCCUUCUCUCUAAACACAUAAGUCCCUUAAAUCUCUUUGCAGGCUUUUGUGUUUAAACUCCUCCAGGGCAACAGCUUAGUGAACACAAAAUGUAGCUAACCUAAAUUUUGCUAUAAAUACCCUUUCAGGAUUUUUUUCUUUUGUACCUAGUGUAUUCUUGAACAGUUCUGAAGAUUUUUUUUGUGUGUGUGUGUAUAUGGAAAAGUCUUUGCUAAUCAAUUAAAAAAGUGAUGGUUAUGCCAGAGGUCCAAUGAGUUUUCUACUAUUCAAUUCCUGUCAAAGCAAAUUAGUUGAAAAACUUCCAUGGAGCCCAGAAGAAUUGAAUCAGGCUCCUCAUGUUUAACAAAGCAUAUGGUUCAUAUGGUUUACAAGGCAGAGAAUAAAGUUAUAGUUUGUGUUUACUUACAAAAGAAGAAGUAGAAGAAAAAAAAAACCAUGCUCUUAGCAGCUACUAAAUGGAGUUUAUUGGUUGAUUUUUUUCUAGUUUGGGGAUAUCAAGGGAGAACACAGUGCACUGGCUACACGUGUAUCUAUUCACUGUCUCCAAUAAUACAGAGAGGAUUUUUUUGCCCUUUCAGACAACCAAGUUCCUCUCUAGACAGCUAAAGGAGAGAAAAUAGUAUCAGGAAAAUCGACAUUUUUCAUCAUCUUCCCACUAUCCUUUUUCCUUUGUAACUCUAAUUUUAGCAGAGCAGCUCUUCUUGAUGAAGGGUGUAUGCACCAGUGCUAUCAGCUGAGAGAU
This is a long non-coding RNA of Cygnus atratus (black swan), 1027 nucleotides long. RefSeq lists it as uncharacterized. NCBI's taxonomy places the organism in Eukaryota, Metazoa, Chordata, Aves, Anseriformes, Anatidae. The transcript has 3 exons. The record is from RefSeq and is a predicted model, not a curated record.